Podarcis lilfordi (Lilford's wall lizard) is the source of this 76-nucleotide non-coding RNA. The record is from the annotation of a GenBank genome assembly. NCBI's taxonomy places the organism in Eukaryota, Metazoa, Chordata, Lepidosauria, Squamata, Lacertidae.
UCACGGAUAGCUCAGUCAGUAGAGCAUGGGACUCUGGAUUUCAAGGUCAUGGGUUUAAGCACCACAUUGGGCAAAA